This 1156-nucleotide long non-coding RNA is filed under the name Heterocephalus glaber (naked mole-rat). RNAcentral describes it as "lncRNA (ENSHGLG00000028609.2)". The record is from RNAcentral. Lineage: Eukaryota; Metazoa; Chordata; Mammalia; Rodentia; Bathyergidae.
AGGAAAUUGCUCUGGAGGCUAUGGAUCAUCACUGGGCAGUGGCAUUCUCCUCCUCCCAGCCCUGUCAUGGGUGAGAUGUGACAGGACCCCAGGUUCACAGCCUCCCACCCCCUGCUCCAGCCCAGGAGGAGUUUCUCUCCUGACCCUGUCCUCCUAUCCCCCCACCCACAGAGAGUCUAGACCUAGGUUGGCAGUGGUGCAGGGGACUCACAGUGGUGGGCAGGCCUAAAUGUUCUUGUGCUGAACUCGGUGUCUCAGAGUGCCUGGUGGCCAGGCUGAGGGAGACCUGCCCUGGGCUUCUUCUCAUAUCAGGCCCUGAGGACCCUGAGUGUUGUGAGACAUGCCCUGUGCUGCCCAUUGAGGCUGGGUUGUUCUGGCCAGUGGCCUGAAGCACGUGGACUUAGUCAUCCAUCCUCUCACUUGUUCCCAAGUGCUUUCCCUGUGUGGUGUCUUGAGGCUGCAGCCUUGAGGCCUGGGAAACAGCACAAUAUGUUCACUGCAGACUGUCUCCUGCCAAGUGACUGUUAGGCAGCCUUUGUGAGACUGCGGUGCCCCAUUACUGCAGGGUUCCAAGUUCUGUUGGGACCUGUCACCAUGGAAGUGAAGUCAUGUGCUGGGGUCCAUAAGAUGAGCCUCCUGGUCUGGUUGGAAAUCAGGCAGCCCAGAGCCUGGCAGAGGUCUGCACAAUGAGGACAGCACAGGCAGGCAAGCCACAUGCCCUGAUGGAGCCCCCAGAGCAGACCUCCCUGGACAGCUGCCCCAUCAGUGGGCCCUCCUUCGUGGAUCCCAAAGGGGCCUGCAUUUUUUCCCCACAGGAGGGCAUGGUGGGAAGGAGCACCUCCAUUCCAAGCUGAAGUCCCAGCGGCAGAGCCUGUGCCAACUGCACCUGCAGGUGCUUCCUCAGCUCUGGCACCACAGCCAGAGCCAGAACCAGGAUUCCCUUGUCCUUUAACUGCACUUCUGGGGCUCCUGGUGGCUUCUCAGAGGUUGUCAGCUCCUGAGAUUCCCCUGGGGCCAGCUCCUGCCCCACACCUGCCAUUCCCCUCUAUUACUGCUGCUCAUGUUUUAUUCUUUACUUUUGUGCUUAUAUUCUGGAUUUUUGUAAAUAAUAGAGCAAUUUUAAAAUAAAAGUUAAGACUUUACUGUUGUUUAAAAU